AACUUUGUUUUUUUUAGAAAAAAAGAGUCGAGAGUAGAGAAGUAAAUAUUAAAUAUAAAAUAAAUAUAACAGUAGAGAAGAGAGUAGAGAUAGCAGGGACGAGAAAAUAUCUAGUGCUACCAUCCAUGGGAUGAUACGCUGCUCCAGGGAUGGAUGGUAUGUCAGAUUUGAAAUAAAGGGGCAGGAUCAAGUCACUGAUGCAUUUACACAUGGCCCCUUGGAACAUUUGCACCUUGCCCCUAGAAAGUAACAUGUCUUUGCAAAAUUGCCUUAGACAGUUCCGUUGGUUGUUUCUCCUGGACCAAAGCACAGUACGCCAAUCUCCAUCUGAGCUUGCACUUUUAAAUCCAGAAAAGAAUUAGGUCAAGAAACUGAAACUUUCAUAGAUAAUUACUCCCUCCGUCCCAUAAUGUAAGAUGUUUUUUGACACUAGUUAGCACGAGUACUAGGGCGAGAACAUACUAGAUCCAGCUGAAUUACAUGGCCACCAAGGCUAGUUACAGAUUCAGCUACUACAAGAUGCACUACACUCUGAGCACAAUUACAGAAUUAGAACCAAAGCUGACCAUGACAAUGCCCAGUACUAGAACGAACCAUUAAGUUGGUCGUGGCUUAUCAGCAGACUAACAACUAACUGAACUUGAGAGCUGCGAGCCAUGCAGUUUGCAGCAUGUACGCUCCCAUUGGUCAGCGCAAAUGCACACCUACAUGAUAAAAGCAAGAAUUAGGACCUAAAAAGCCUUUUGAAAACAACCCAAUCUUCUUCACCCUAAACCAUUUAAAAUAAUUGAACCAAUUCAUUUGUGUACUUAUAUCGAGAGGUCUGGUCCAAAGGAUGGGUACACACACAUGAGUAACCUGGUUUUAAGAACUCAGCACACCAACCCUGUUUUAGGGAAUCGGUACUAACCAUGUUCCCGUUACAUAGAAAAUGACAGAAUUAACCGUAAGUUCUUAUCAACAAACAACCAAACUUCUACAGGUUUUCUGUAAAUGAGAGGCAUAUAAGAAGAGUAACAAACCUUAGGUGAUUCAGUUCAAGUUAGCACAAUGUAAGCUUUCCAUUCCUGUGACACAACCGGUACAACAGAAAGUUAGAUGCCACUAGACCAGCAACCCACAAGCCAUACAAAAACAUGUACUCCACCAUCCCUGUGUAUAAAAAAACAAAAAGGAAGAAAUCACUAACAGAACAAAGAAUACUGACAGAAUCUACAUCAUACCACAUGUUUCAUAUGAAAUUUAAAUAGUUAUAUGGUGUCAGCUACAUUCUAUCAACUUCAAACUGCAAACUAAGUUUGAACUAGAUCCCAGUACUUGGAACAAACUCUAGCCUCAACUUGUGUUUGGAACAUCUCCAUAGACACAUGAUCUCAAGAAGAACACAAUGUUAGUUCUAUUACCACCGUACAACAUUAAAUAUGAGAAAUCUGCAAACACUUUUGGCAUGCCAAAUAACCUGCAUAUAUGUCGCAUCAUCUAAUUCUCCUGGUCGAUUUUACUGUUUCUUGACCUAUAAGAACAUGUAAAAGGAAAUAAUUUGUUGAACUACAAAACCAUGACAUGCUCACAACUAAGUGAGUUAUCUUCACCUCCUUUUCCUUUUCCCCCUCGUUGUCAGCUGUUUCUUGAACUAUUUCUACAUAGCUAACUAAGAAAGUAGCAGUCGAUAACUGCACAUGUAUUGAGUUCAGUGUACCAGGUACGAAAUUGUUGUUACUCACCCUCCAUGCCAUUGUUUCCUUUUUAGGAAUAUAAACAGUCCUAACUUCUUAUUUUACCCAUAAUAUUUGUUAAAAGUCAAAGAAGACACUAUAUUUUAUACUUGAGAAACACAGUCAUCCUGAAAAGGCAGGAAAAUAUUUAUAUAAGCCAGAUCAAACAUAUUACAUUGUCACAUGUUCCCAUACUUCUCCAAAUCCAAAAACUGAUGUGAGACAAGCAAUGCAUAGUUGUAGUUGUCCCCAAAGAUUUUUGGUCUGGUAGUAUGCGCCAUAAACCUCAUGAGAACAUAAAUGGCCAGUAAGUCAGUUUAUUACACCGUGAAAAACUAUUGAUCCGUCAAAAUUUUCUAGUUCCAGCUGCGGCGAUGUGAGAACAAGCACAUAGAUUUCCAGUACUCAGUGGUCUCAGUUUGACUGAGAGUUCAACCGGGAUUUCUGUUAGUCAAGCCUUGUUGAGCCUCAUUUGGCACGAAUUUUGUCAAUUACUCAAUCUAUAGACAUGACUCAGUAUAAGUCUAAAUGCCCACUUACGCUAGGCUGUACGUGUGGUUCUCAACUAACUGUAUGUAAGAAACAUUCUAGAAAACUUUAUAAGAAAGAUUAUGUGUAUUUACAUAGACAUGUUAUUGUUAGGAGAGGAAGUGUCAGUCGACAUUACAACACUGAUAGACAUUCUUCUAGUUCUUCAAAGAUUAAAAUACUUAUACAUAUCUCUGCUCUGAACUACCUUUACCAUCUAUUAGACUGAAUUGCUAGAUAAAUUUUUAUACUAAGGGCUACAUUGUGGGCAGCAAUUGACAAGCCAAUCUUUUAUUCUAAAAACAAGAUGUCUCGACGGACACUGAGAUUAAAGCAUGAACUAACCAUAUGAGCUCGGCUCCUCCCAUAUGUGUUGCACUUCCGACGAACGAGCCAUGGGCAAGAAUGGCGUACAACUCUAGAUUGGUCCAGAACUGCUAAUGCACGCAACAUCGCAGUUGGAGGUGGCAGAUCCUGCUGCAGCCGGCAGAAAAAUUGACCUGUACGGCUAUUGGACAUGCGCCAUGGUAGCCGUCGGUGCCAGCAGACAUGUGCCAUGGUAUACCACUGGACUGGCUCGGAUAGGAACCCCUCGAACGACACCGACUCCCGCAGCGCCGAUAUCCAGUCCUAAAACCAAUGAAUCAAAUCAGAAAUACAAACACCAAAAAAAAGGCCAAGAUACUGAAUAGUCUUCGGCUCGCGCGACUUGUUAGGCUUCAGCGGCGCGGGGAGGGGGGGUAAGGAGACUAACAGUGGAGGGGGCACGCACCAUGGUAGCCGGCGGCGGUAGGACAUGACCUAGGCGGCGGCGGUGGCGAAACAGGCCGUAUCGAGAAGAAAGGCCGAACAGAACAGAGCAAUAUCCACUUAGUCGCCGAAUUACAAAAUAGUCGAGGUGCCUCGUGCGUAAUUUCCAACGCGAACUGAGCUACUCAAUCAUGUGCCUCCAAUCCAGAUCCAACGGUCCACAUGAUCCUG
RNAcentral lists this long non-coding RNA (3224 nucleotides) under Triticum aestivum (bread wheat). Its description in RNAcentral is "long non-coding RNA (TAES_LNC024172)". The record is from RNAcentral. Lineage: Eukaryota; Viridiplantae; Streptophyta; Magnoliopsida; Poales; Poaceae.